GGGUUUGCACCGAUUCUGUUCUCCUUAGCUUCCUUGGUAGCAACGUUCGCUUACUCGACCUUGUCCUCUGACUUGUCGGGCUCCCUUAAGCGAAUAUGAGCUCUGGAACAGUCCAACUCUCCAGCUGCUUCGAUCAUACCUCUGUAUGAUCAAGUCCCUCCCAUGGGACUCACUGUUACUUGCAUUCGAACUUUUCCCUUGGUGGAACCCAGCCCCCAUAUGCUGAUGACCAAGGUUUUCAUCCGAUGCAAAAUUCG
This 257-nucleotide long non-coding RNA is filed under the name Musa acuminata (dwarf banana). RNAcentral describes it as "long non-coding RNA (MACU_LNC011482)". Lineage: Eukaryota; Viridiplantae; Streptophyta; Magnoliopsida; Zingiberales; Musaceae. The record is from RNAcentral.